UGGUUACAAAAAACAAAAAAUAGAAAUUUCUGUAAAAUACUUUCAAAAUGCUACUUCUCCUACAGUAUUGGUUUAAAUACAGUAUAACUUGGCACACAAGUAGACAACACUAUGAUACUUAAUUCUAUUUAUUGCUGUUACAAAGUUUCAAUCCAAGUAUUACUUUUCUCUUCCUUUGUUAUAAGUACAACCCAGUAGAGCGACUGUGAGUCUCAUCAGAGACUUCUGGUUUUUGAGCAUCUUUUUUCUAGGAAGACUAAGUUUCUAGGAAGAUAUUGACCUUAAGUUGAGUUGACGCUUUUUCUCUUUGAAGAUUAAAGAUUUGGGGACAAUCAAGAAUUAAAGUGGCUGAAGUCAUGGAGACCCAAUCUCAGUUCACAGGGAAUACCACGGACUGCAAGGAAGGACAUUGGAACUGGCUUAUGUAUUCCAAUUUUGAUUGCAGUUGAUGAAAGAUGUCGUACUUAGGGAAACAUUAGAUGAAAUUACUUUGAAAUACCCCUAGUUUGUCAACUACUAGCCAAGAUCCUACAGGUUAGUUGAAUUGGAGAACAGAUGUACACACAGUAGAAAGGAUAUUACCUGAAAACAUCAAAUGACGGGGAAAAAAGAAGACUGCCUAUUUCAGAGAUAUAUAUUUUCACAGUAUCAUCACCCAUAGCACUACGAUCAAAAAUUAAAAAUGACAUUAAGGAAGAAAAAAAAUGAAGACACUGAUCAAAAAGAAAAGAAGUUGGAAGAGUUUCGAAUAUUAUGUCUGAAUAUUCUGUCAACAACACCAUAGAUCUGGAGAGGGAUUUUUUUGCCUAAUAAUUUAUAUUAAUGCAUGUACAUUUAUUUUUUAAUUCUUUUUUAUAUAUAAUGUUGCCUUUUUUUCAUCAAGUGUACAUGUUACUUUUUUAGCUCACCCAAACUUAAAGCUCAAGUGAGCUUUUCUGAUUGAAAAAUGUCUGGUUUCUGUCUGUCCAUCUGAUGUGUGUUGUCUGUUAACUUUUUACAUUUUUGAAUUCUUCUCUAGAAUCACUUGGACUAUUUCAACCAAACUUGCCUCAAAGCAUCCUUUAAUAAAAGGGGAAAAAGUUUGUUCAAACGAAGAGCCAUGCCCUCUUUUAAGGGGAGAUAAUUAAGAGUUCAUGAAAAUUUGAUGGAUUUUCUAAAGUCUUCUUUUCAAGAACAACUUGGCUGGAAAAUGUUAAUGUUAUGUGAAAGCUUCCUGAUUUAAGGGUGUUCAAAUCGUGUGUGGCCACAACAGGAGAUCACAGUUUUACACAUGGGAAUAUAUAGGAAAAAUAUUUAUUUUCUUCUUGUAAAGAAUAACAAGGUCAUGAUUAGUCAUAUUAAUAUGUUGUAAAUCAUCCUCAGAGCAGAUUUAAUUUUUCCAAAUAAUGGUCCCUGGGGGUAAAAUGGGACUACAACUUGUUGGCCCUCAGGAGUAGAAUAAGGCAACAAAGGGGAUCAAUAUUUCAAAGUGAAAUG
Saccostrea echinata is the source of this 1476-nucleotide long non-coding RNA. RefSeq lists it as uncharacterized. The record is from RefSeq and is a predicted model, not a curated record. The transcript has 3 exons. Lineage: Eukaryota; Metazoa; Mollusca; Bivalvia; Ostreida; Ostreidae.